GCUAGCGUGGCCCAAUGGAUAAGGCGCAUGACUGCGAAUCUUGAGAUUCCGGGUUCAAGUCCCGGUGUUGGUC
RNAcentral lists this transfer RNA (73 nucleotides) under Pelagophyceae sp. CCMP2097. RNAcentral's name for it is "tRNA-Arg". It matches the Rfam family "tRNA". From Rfam's summary of the family: Transfer RNA (tRNA) molecules are approximately 80 nucleotides in length. Their secondary structure includes four short double-helical elements and three loops (D, anti-codon, and T loops). The record is from RNAcentral. Lineage: Eukaryota; Pelagophyceae.